GAAUUUUGGACAAUGGGGGCAACCCUGAUCCAGCCAUCCCGCGUGUGCGAUGAAGGCCUUCGGGUUGUAAAGCACUUUUGGCAGGGAAGAAAAGGCGCUGGCUAAUACCUGGAGCUGCUGACGGUACCUGCAGAAUAAGAACCGGGUAAGUACGUGCACGCAGCCGCGGUAAUACGGAGUGUGCAAGCGUUAAUCGGAAUUACGGGGCGUAAAGCGUGCGCAGGCGGUUCGGCAAGAAGGAUGUGAAAUCCCAGGGCUUAACCUUGGAACUGCAUUCUUAACUGCCGGGCUAGAGUAUGUCAUAGGGGGGUAGAAUUCCGCGUGUAGCAGUGAAAUGCGUAGAGAUGCUGAGGAAUACCGAUGGCGAAGGCAGCCCCCUGGGAUAAUACUGACGCUCAUGCACGAAAGCGUGGGGAGCAAAC
This 422-nucleotide ribosomal RNA is filed under the name uncultured bacterium. Its description in RNAcentral is "partial 16S ribosomal RNA". It matches the Rfam family "Bacterial small subunit ribosomal RNA", at positions 359 to 773 of the family's 1533-position model. The record is from RNAcentral.